GAUGAACGCUAGCGGGAGGCUUAACACAUGCAAGGUCAGGGGCAGCACGAUGUAGCAAUACGUUGGUGGCGACCGGCGCACGGGUGAGUAACGCGUAUGUAACCUGCCCUUUACCGGAGGAUAACCCGGAGAAAUUCGGACUAAUAUUCCAUAAAGAUACUUAGAGGCAUCUUUGAGUAUUUAAAGCUACGGUGGUAAAGGAGGGGCAUGCGUAACAUUAGCUAGUUGGGAGGGUAACGUCCUGCCAAGGCAAUGAUGUUUAGGGGACCUGAGAGGGUGAUCCCCCACACUGGUACUGAGACACGGACCAGACUCCUACGGGAGGCAGCAGUGAGGAAUAUUGGUCAAUGGGCGACAGCCUGAACCAGCCAUCCCGCGCGAAGGAAGAAAGCGCUAUGCGUUGUAAACUUCUUUUCCAGAGGGAUAAAAUGAUGUACGCGUACAUUACUGAAGGUACUCUGGGAAUAAGCAUCGGCUAACUCCGUG
This 486-nucleotide ribosomal RNA is filed under the name uncultured bacterium. Its description in RNAcentral is "bacterial SSU rRNA". It matches the Rfam family "Bacterial small subunit ribosomal RNA", at positions 28 to 507 of the family's 1533-position model. The record is from RNAcentral.